CUACGGGGGGCUCCAGUGGGGAAUAUUGGACAAUGGGGGAAACCCUGAUCCAGCAAUGCCGCGUGUGUGAAGAAGGCCUGCGGGUUGUAAAGCACUUUCGGUUGGGAGGACUGCUUCUAGCACUAAUAUUGUUGGAAGUUGACGUUACCUUCAGAAGAAGCACCGGCUAACUCCGUGCCAGCAGCCGCGGUAAUACGGAGGAUGCAAGCGUUAAUCGGAAUUACUGGGCGUAAGCGCGCGUAGGCGGCUAGAUCAGUCGGGUGUGAAAGCCCCGGGCUUAACCUGGGAACUGCAUCCGAUACUGUCUAGCUUGAGUACAGGAGAGGAGAGUGGAAUUCCACAUGUAGCGGUGAAAUGCGUAGAUAUGUGGAGGAACACCAAUGGCGAAGGCAGCUCUCUGGCCUGAUACUGACGCUGAGGUGCGAAAGCGUGGGGAGCAAACAGGAUUAGAUACCCCAGUAGUC
Molecule: ribosomal RNA, 464 nt
Filed under: uncultured bacterium
Lineage: Bacteria
Description: partial 16S ribosomal RNA
Rfam family: Bacterial small subunit ribosomal RNA
Source: RNAcentral